AUGAAAUUUUUUAAUUAUAAAAGUGGAUUUUACUUUUAUAAUAAGGAUCAACGUAAAGAAACUUAUUAUUUUAACUUAUUAAUGAAUAGUAAGGAUGUGAAUCAUGGGGUUGAAUCUUUACCUUGUCUUUAUUUGUAUCAUCAUAAGUAUUAUCAGUUUGUUGAAAUUGGAAAAAAUAUAACAGGAGUUAGUGAUAGAAAUGUGGUUAGUGAUAGAAAUGUGGUUAGUGAUAGAAACGUGGUUAGUGACAGAAACGUGACAAAUGAUUUAGUAAGCCCAUUGAAUGGAAAAAAUAAUAAAACCUUAGAUACCACUCCUAAUGACAGUAGCGAUGAUAACGAUAACAAUAGCAACUUUAUAGACAUACAAAAAAAUGAACCCAUUUUUUUUUAUACUGAUGAUAGACUAAGCUCAGAUGACGAAGAUGACCGAGUUAAAAAAAAACAAAUAAAUGAUAUUUAUAUAUUACAACGAAAUUUAUAUAUUAUUCAAGAUUUUAAAAAACAUUUUAAUUUGUCUAUACUUACAAAAAUGGAAAACAUGACUAUAGACAUGUUUCAUAAUUACAAUUUGAAUUUGCUUUUGAUCAAUAAAUUUAUCAGUAUAAAACCUAGCGAUAAAAAUGGAGAAUACACAACGGACCUUAAUAAUGUCACCAACAGUUACGACAUUGUUAGUACUGCUAUAGACCAUACUAAACACAACAGCAACGGUAACGACAACGACAACGACAACGACAAUUGCUAUAACGAGCUGAUAGAUACGAGUAUGAAAAAUAUAAAUAUACAACUAUCAAUUACAGUUUUAAGUUUAGAAUAUUGGAAAUUUGAAAACAUAAAUGAAGAGGAACCGAUACCAACAUUUUUUAUACCUAACAGUAUACAAAUAUAUUUUAAUAUUUUAAAUGAUAUAUAUCAAAAAUAUAACAAUAAUAAUGAUAAGUACUUAAUAUUUUUAUAUGAUUUUUGUUUCAUAGAUUUAAUAAUUAAUGAUUUUUUAAUUACUCUAAAAUUAUCUGAAGGGUUACUUUUUUAUUUUUUAAAUAAUUUAGAAGAGGCUAUAAUAAAUGUAUAUAAAAAUAAUUUAUUAAAUACGAAUAAUAUCAAUUCUCCUAUUAAAUAUAAUUAUAGCUAUUUAUUUAUUUCUUCCAAUUAUAAAUCGAAUCAACAAAAUAAAACCAUGCAUAUUGUAGUUGAUGAAAAUAUUGUUAUGUAUGACUUUCGAAUUAUUAAAAAUCUUGUUGAGCUUAAUCAUAAGAAUAGUAAAGCGAACAAAACGACUACUAAAAAGGAGUUAAUAAAAAAGAAGACCGGGUUAGAAAACGUACCGAGUGUGGCAAAUGUGGCAGACUUGGCAAACGUGGCAGACUUGGCAAACGUGGCAGACUUGGCAAACGUGGUAGACUUGGCAAACGUGGCAGACUUGGCAAACGUGGCAAGUGUGGCAGGCGUGGCAGACGUAUCAAGAGUGAUAGAAGCCACAGACGUAACUGACUUACCAGUUAUUCUCCCCUCUAACAAUAUAUGCCUUGACAGUAACACCAAUUUGAAGGAAGAAACUUGUACAGAUGAUAAACUAUAUACAACCAACUUAAAAAAAAAGAAUACUUCCUUUGAAAAUAAAAAUAUACCUAAUAUAUUUUCUUCAACAAAAAUAAUAUCAAAAGAAAACAUUUA
Molecule: long non-coding RNA, 1676 nt
Organism: Piliocolobus tephrosceles (Ugandan red Colobus)
Lineage: Eukaryota; Metazoa; Chordata; Mammalia; Primates; Cercopithecidae
Source: Ensembl